RNAcentral lists this ribosomal RNA (517 nucleotides) under uncultured bacterium. RNAcentral's name for it is "bacterial SSU rRNA". It matches the Rfam family "Bacterial small subunit ribosomal RNA", at positions 992 to 1509 of the family's 1533-position model. The record is from RNAcentral.
AGAACUUAGCAGAGAUGCUUUGGUGCCUUCGGGAACUCUGAGACAGGUGCUGCAUGGCUGUCGUCAGCUCGUGUUGUGAAAUGUUGGGUUAAGUCCCGCAACGAGCGCAACCCUUAUCCUUUGUUGCCAGCGGUUAGGCCGGGAACUCAAAGGAGACUGCCAGUGAUAAACUGGAGGAAGGUGGGGAUGACGUCAAGUCAUCAUGGCCCUUACGAGUAGGGCUACACACGUGCUACAAUGGCGCAUACAAAGAGAAGCGACCUCGCGAGAGCAAGCGGACCUCAUAAAGUGCGUCGUAGUCCGGAUUGGAGUCUGCAACUCGACUCCAUGAAGUCGGAAUCGCUAGUAAUCGUGGAUCAGAAUGCCACGGUGAACACGUUCCCGGGCCUUGUACACACCGCCCGUCACACCAUGGGAGUGGGUUGCAAAAGAAGUAGGUAGCUUAACCUUCGGGAGGGCGCUUACCACUUUGUGAUUCAUGACUGGGGUGAAGUCGUAACAAGGUAAGCGUAGUGCU